AAGUGCAAUAUUGAAUUUUAUACAAUUUCAUUAUACUGAAUUCAAUUGUAUUCAAACAAUAAAAAAUCAAGAAAUAGGGUGUAUACUAUUCUAUUCAAUUCGACUAUAUAUAUUGUAUUUAAUUCACCGUAUUCAAUUAGAUUUCAUUCAAACAAUAAAAAAUCACAAAACAGUGAUAUUCGGUUGUAUUAAAAAAAUAUAGGGAUCCGCCACAAAAAAAUAACCUUCGGAAUACAUAAAUAUAGGCGAAAAUACAAUGUAAUUGUACAAAAAUAAAAUAUAUUUGAGUGUAUUUGUACAGAAUAUACUGUAUUUGUAUCAUUGUAUGUGACUCAAUAGCAAAGAAGAGAAGAAAGUUCGUCGGAGAUGGCAUUUUUCGGCCAAGCUAAAUACUGUACACAUUGUAUUAAAAUUAAAAAAUGGAGAUGAACGAAAAGCCGGCCCUCAAAUCUUCUCUGGCGACUCUGCUUCAGAUUUCCAAAAGCUCAAUCCGUAGCCAUGAUCAGAUCUGUUCUCCUACUCCCUCUUCGCUUUAAAUCUAUUUUCUUCGCUUCAUAUCUAUCCAUGGCACGAUGGAAGAUUUGAUACACUAUAUUCAAUUUACUUAAAACUAAAAGUUUCAGAUCUAUGUAUCAUUGAAAAGUCAGAGACGAACAAAAAUCCCGUUUGAACGGGACAAACGUGGGGUUUUUGUAAGGAAUAUAUGAAACACACAUUCUCAUAAAACAAAAAACUGAGACAAAAAGGAAAGUCUACCAUCGCCACCAAGAAUGACUGGUACGACGGCUUCUUGAUGGAAAAGGGAGAGUGACUUGAGGGAAGAGAGAGGAUUGAGAAUCUUCUUAGAAAAAGAGAGAAAUCAUGUGCUAAUUGAAGGAGGAAGAGAGAGAAACGUAACUGGCGUAUGUCACGCCUUAAUGAUGGUAUACAUAAUAAAUAUGUAUUUUGCUAUAAAAUAUGAAAGGUAGUUAUAAUCUAUAUCUAUAUAUAAUUAUAAAGCAGGGCUUCUAACAGUGACGUGGCAUAUGUCUUUGACCAGGAAUGACAUUUAUCAAAUUCCUCAAUAAUUUGGGCAUUUCAUUAACCGCUUCAUACCAGGACGUUUCAAAAUAGAACGUUUCACCGAUUAAAUUUCAAGGCACUAGAAGCAGAGAAAGAAUCGACGAAGCGGAUUCAAUUCCUGUGGCGCUUCAUUAUCUCCAUAUCAACGAACUCAUAUGUCUCAAACUCGAGUAGACGCCGACGAUUACGAAUCCCUACGAUGGGGGUAAUUUUUUCCAGUACCUUUACCUAACCUUAAUCCCUUCUGGUUUUGUUGUCUUUCAAAUUGUAUUGGUUUAUAUAAUGAUGAUAACUGAAAUUUAUUAGUAAUUAAUUCUAAAUCAACUCAGGUUUGCACCUUCUGCAAUAUAAUUACUUUUGUCUACUUCACUUACAUUGAUUAUGCCCAUCUUUGUGUUGCAAUAUAAUCAUCGGAACGACAAGCUAUCAGAGCAUGAGGACUCUCUUCUUCGUCUUACUUUCCUUUUGGCCUGGGAUUUAUGUUUUAAAAAAAGAGUGAACGCAAAAAAUCGAGAAUAGCAUUUGCACUUGGUAUUUGCAGCAUUUAUACGUUCCAUAGUUAUAUGAAAAGUACGCUUAGUAAAUAGUAAUAACAUAAUUUUUUAGUUUGUAUGCAUUGCCAUGUUCAACAGAGAUUGAAAAUGUGUAUCAAAAUUUAGCACCUGUGUUUUUCUAUAUUCAUUGUUUUCAAUUACAUUGGAGAGAUUAAGAGCUUGAAUCUUCAUAUUUACAUCCUAUUUGGUCUAUAUAUGCCAUAUAGACUAAUUUCCAGUGCCGAUCAUUUUGUAUGUCAUUGCUUCAUCCUGAUGACUCAUUCGUGCAAUGGAUAUUGGACUGUGCUGCUAUUUUAAAUUUGUUUCUGUCUCCGCUACCAGGUCCAAAUAUAGAGAAGAAAACAUGUUUCGAGAAAAGGUGAGCAACUGUAUUUUGAUGGAUGGAUUAUUUGAAUAAUAUUUCUUGCAUCAAGGGAAACUUAUGUAGCUUUUCUUUUGCUCUCUCUGUAAAAAGACUUGGAUAGCAUUUCUUUCGCUCUCUUUAUUUGGUAUUCAUCUUUGAUAGCUGAACAUGAUUACAUACAUGUAUAUGUGAGAAUUGUAUAUUGAUCAAUUCCCAGAUAAUUCAGAGGCUUUCUCAGUAAGUUAUUAGGGAUUAAUUUCCUGAAAGUUUUGUUGGGGAACUUUUGAUUUGUCUGAAGAUUGAAGAUGGAGG
This 2271-nucleotide long non-coding RNA is filed under the name Nicotiana tabacum (common tobacco). RNAcentral's name for it is "long non-coding RNA (NTAB_LNC012063)". Lineage: Eukaryota; Viridiplantae; Streptophyta; Magnoliopsida; Solanales; Solanaceae. The record is from RNAcentral.